Molecule: ribosomal RNA, 495 nt
Filed under: uncultured bacterium
Lineage: Bacteria
Description: partial 16S ribosomal RNA
Rfam family: Bacterial small subunit ribosomal RNA
Source: RNAcentral
GAUGAACGCUGGCGGCGUGCCUAAUACAUGCAAGUAGAACGCUGAAGGAGGAGCUUGCUCUUCUGGAUGAGUUGCGAACGGGUGAGUAACGCGUAGGUAACCUGCCUGGUAGCGGGGGAUAACUAUUGGAAACGAUAGCUAAUACCGCAUGACAACAGUUAUUGCAUGAUAACUGUUUAAAAGGGGCAACUGCUCCACUACCAGAUGGACCUGCGUUGUAUUAGCUAGUUGGUGAGGUAACGGCUCACCAAGGCGACGAUACAUAGCCGACCUGAGAGGGUGAUCGGCCAAACUGGGACUGAGACACGGCCCAGACUCCUACGGGAGGCAGCAGGAGGGAAUCUUCGGCAAUGGACGGAAGUCUGACCGAGCAACGCCGCGUGAGUGAAGAAGGUUUUCGGAUCGUAAAGCUCUGUUGUAAGAGAAGAACGAGUGUGAGAGUGGAAAGUUCACACUGUGACGGUAUCUUACCAGAAAGGGACGGCUAACUACGUG